Massospora cicadina is the source of this 82-nucleotide non-coding RNA. Lineage: Eukaryota; Fungi; Entomophthoromycota; Entomophthoromycetes; Entomophthorales; Entomophthoraceae. The record is from the annotation of a GenBank genome assembly.
GGACAGAUGGCCUAGUCGGUCUAAGGCGCAACUUAAGGCCUUGUUCUCUUCUGAGUCGUGCGUUCGAAUCUCACUUUGUUCA